Oncorhynchus nerka (sockeye salmon) is the source of this 356-nucleotide long non-coding RNA. RefSeq lists it as uncharacterized. NCBI's taxonomy places the organism in Eukaryota, Metazoa, Chordata, Actinopteri, Salmoniformes, Salmonidae. The transcript has 3 exons. The record is from RefSeq and is a predicted model, not a curated record.
GAAAGAGAUGAGCAUAGGUUCCUCCCAAGAUGCCACCCGCUUCAUUCAAGUGCCUGGCAGCACUGUGUUCCUGUUAGAGCCACCAGCACAAGCACCAGACGAUGCUGAUCCAGUGAGUACUCCAUCAAAGGCAUACUGUAGGCCUGGCAUGUCUUGUCUACUAGCUUCAAUAUGAAUCCGAUUAAAUGUGAUCGGGUGAAGGCCCCAGUGCAGCAGCAACAGCACAUGAUGGAGACGAUGAUGAGGAGGAGACCAUCUCUCUGGAUUCCAGAAGGCAUGAGGACCCAGAUGCUAUACAGUGGGAAAACCAGCCUGGCAACAUAGUGCGUAUUAAUAAAGGACACCACAUCCUGCCC